UACGUAGGGGGCAAGCGUUGUCCGGAAUCAUUGGGCGUAAAGAGCGUGUAGGCGGCCCGGUAAGUCCGCCGUGAAAGUCCAGGGCUCAACCCUGGAAUGCCGGUGGAAACUGCCGGGCUGGAGUCCGGAAGAGGCGAGUGGAAUUCCUGGUGUAGCGGUGAAAUGCGCAGAUAUCAGGAGGAACACCAAUGGCGAAGGCAGCUCGCUGGGACGGUACUGACGCUGAGACGCGAAAGCGUGGGGAGCAAACAGG
This 253-nucleotide ribosomal RNA is filed under the name uncultured bacterium. RNAcentral describes it as "partial 16S ribosomal RNA". It matches the Rfam family "Bacterial small subunit ribosomal RNA", at positions 524 to 776 of the family's 1533-position model. The record is from RNAcentral.